RNAcentral lists this ribosomal RNA (492 nucleotides) under uncultured bacterium. RNAcentral's name for it is "partial 16S ribosomal RNA". It matches the Rfam family "Bacterial small subunit ribosomal RNA", at positions 30 to 507 of the family's 1533-position model. The record is from RNAcentral.
AGUGAACGCUGGCGGCAGGCUUAACACAUGCAAGUCGAACGGCAGCACAGUAAGAGCUUGCUCUUACCGGUGGCGAGUGGCGGACGGGUGACGAAUACAUCGGAAUCUACUUUUUCGUGGAGGAUAACGUAGGGGAACUUACGCUAAUACCGCAUACGACCCUCGGGUGAAAGCAGGGGAUCUUCUGACCUUGCGCGAUUGGAUGAGCCGAUGUGGGGUUAGCUAGUUGGCGGGGUAAUGGCCCACCAGGGCGACGAUCCGUAGCCGGAGUGGGAGACUGGUAGGCCGCACUAGAGCGUGACCAGGGACCUGACUACUGAGGGAGGCAGCAGUGGGGAAUAUUGGACAAUGGGCGGGAGCCUGGUCCAGUCAUACGAAGUGGGUGGAGGAGGCCUUCGGGUUGUAAAGCCGUUCUGUGGGGAGAGAAAAGCAGCAGGUUAAUACGACGCGGUACUGACGGUACCGAAAAAAUAAGCACCGGCUAACUACGUG